RNAcentral lists this long non-coding RNA (608 nucleotides) under Nicotiana benthamiana. RNAcentral's name for it is "long non-coding RNA (NBEN_LNC027456)". The record is from RNAcentral. Lineage: Eukaryota; Viridiplantae; Streptophyta; Magnoliopsida; Solanales; Solanaceae.
UGAUAUAUAUCUUGUCAACUCCUAAAAGGCAUGCAGUCUAACUUAACUGUUAUUUGCAUCUCAAACAGUUAAAAAUCUUCGACUUUUAAUUAUGUAUUGUAGCAGGCCCAAUGAUUCAACAGCCCAAUAGUUCUCUUAUGUUUUCAGCCAAGUAGUAGUGACCCGUGUUGUUAGCAUUAAGUCCAGCUGCUAGAUGGUUCUAGAGAAGAGACGGGUGUCAAACGGAGAGUAGGUUUCUUAGGGAAUUCCAGAUUGUCGUCCUUUUAUCUCUAUAUUAGUUCUUUUGCAUUCAAUUCAGAGGUUAUCUAUCAAUGAAAAGCUACUUUCUUUAACUUUCAUUUUAUUCCCUUUUCCUAAAUUAUCUCAGUAGCAGCAGAAUUGCUACAAUUGUGGCAUCAGAGUGCCGGACACUGGCAACGGACUGAUGGUAGAGUCUCAUCGGAGACGAUGGUAGAGAUGACUGAUACGAUGACUGAUACGAUGAGGAGAAUCGAGGAUAUAUUGAUCAGAAUAAGUAACCAAGGCUUGGAACCAUCAUCGUCACCAAGGUCACACGCUGGUGGUAUUCAUGGAGGAACAAUGGUGAAGGGAGCUCAGUCGUCAGUGGG